RNAcentral lists this transfer RNA (76 nucleotides) under Candidatus Saccharimonadota bacterium. Its description in RNAcentral is "tRNA-Phe". It matches the Rfam family "tRNA". From Rfam's summary of the family: Transfer RNA (tRNA) molecules are approximately 80 nucleotides in length. Their secondary structure includes four short double-helical elements and three loops (D, anti-codon, and T loops). The record is from RNAcentral. Lineage: Bacteria; Candidatus Saccharimonadota.
GGCAAGGUAGCCAACGAGGUGACGGCGCGUGUCUGAAAAACAUGAGAUGGCGGUUCGACUCCGCCCCUUGCCACCA